This 253-nucleotide ribosomal RNA is filed under the name uncultured bacterium. RNAcentral's name for it is "partial 16S ribosomal RNA". It matches the Rfam family "Bacterial small subunit ribosomal RNA", at positions 524 to 776 of the family's 1533-position model. The record is from RNAcentral.
UACGAGGGGGGCAAGCGUUGUUCGGAAUUAUUGGGCGUAAAGGGCGCGUAGGCGGUGCGGUAAGUCACCUGUGAAAACUCUGGGCUCAACUCAGAGCCUGCAGGCGAAACUGCCGUGCUUGAGUGUGGGAGAGGUGCGUGGAAUUCCCGGUGUAGCGGUGAAAUGCGUAGAUAUCGGGAGGAACAUCUGUGGCGAAAGCGGCGCACUGGACCACAACUGACGCUGAGACACGAAAGCGUGGGUAGCAAACAGG